AGAAACGUCAUUACUAUUUAAUU
RNAcentral lists this small nuclear RNA (23 nucleotides) under Arabidopsis thaliana (thale cress). RNAcentral's name for it is "snRNA_01225". Lineage: Eukaryota; Viridiplantae; Streptophyta; Magnoliopsida; Brassicales; Brassicaceae. The record is from RNAcentral.